This 93-nucleotide transfer RNA is filed under the name Roseivirga misakiensis. RNAcentral's name for it is "Fabibacter misakiensis tRNA". It matches the Rfam family "tRNA". Rfam says of the family: Transfer RNA (tRNA) molecules are approximately 80 nucleotides in length. Lineage: Bacteria; Pseudomonadati; Bacteroidota; Cytophagia; Cytophagales; Roseivirgaceae. The record is from Rfam by way of RNAcentral.
GUCAGGGUGGCCGAGUGACUAGGCACUGGUCUGCAAAACCAGUUAGGAGGGCCUGUCUGCCGACAAAGGCAGGUUUGAUCCCCUCCCCUGACU